ACAUUAGGUCUCUGUGCAAAGGCAGAGGCUGUGGGAGCAGCAUCAAGCAAGACUUCGGGCAGUGAUUCUAACUAUUGCCUAUGAACACCGUGGCUGGGACGACUUUGACGAGGCAAUUUAUUACUUACGCAUAGAACACUGGCUGUGCUGAAACUGGGAGCGCAAACAGCCCCUUGUUUUCUAAUUUAGAGACUUGCAUCUUUUCGACACUCAACAGUAUCAAGACACUCUGCUACUACAGAUUGAUUUCCACCAUCAACACCUUUACCUCUUCCCGCCUGAAAAUAAAAUAUGAAAUAUAACAAGUAAAUCGCAAUCUACCUUGGGAAAUCAUCUUUCGGGAAUUUAUCUAAGAAGAACUUCUUAUGAUGCUGUUCCAGCUGCAUACUUUCAUUAAUUCAUUCCACGAAUCACCAAAGGAUAUAUGAAGUCUGGGGGUAAGACCUGCAGUAAUUUCCCUUAAGAUAAGGCAGAAGGAUCCAGCUGAGAACCCUACUCCAAUGGCUGUUCUUCCCCUCUCCCAGUCCUGUUCCUUGAAGGGAUCCUUUCUCAACCCUCUCUCUCAUUAUUUUUCUUUCUAGGUCUCCUAGUGGUCACCAACAUAUUUUACUUUUAGGAGCCAAAGUUCAGAUACUACAGAAUUUCCAAGGACUUGAGGAAUAAUUGCACUCUUGAAAGAGCCUAUGAAAAAAGAAGAGACUUGGGAAAUUUAACAGAAGUUCACUUUCCACCACUGCGCAAACUAAGGAAAAACUUAAAGCAGUAAAUAGCUGCGGUUGGCAAAGCUGUUUUGGCUCAGGAGCAGCUAUCAGGCCUUGAUAAGGUCCACAAGUCUGCUGUUCUAAAAUCAAAAAAAAAAAAAAAAAAAACAA
Homo sapiens (human) is the source of this 872-nucleotide long non-coding RNA. Ensembl annotates it as long intergenic non-protein coding RNA 3000. The record is from Ensembl. Lineage: Eukaryota; Metazoa; Chordata; Mammalia; Primates; Hominidae.